CGGAAUUGGCCGAUCCCGGCUUGUUCCUCGGCGUUUCCGGCACGGCCAAGUGAUGCGUUUCUGACUGGGCUGGAAAAUCGAGUGAACUGGCCAGGGAGCUCCAGGUCAGCCG
Molecule: non-coding RNA, 112 nt
Organism: Ornithorhynchus anatinus (platypus)
Lineage: Eukaryota; Metazoa; Chordata; Mammalia; Monotremata; Ornithorhynchidae
Source: RefSeq, marked provisional